CCUACGGGCGGCAGCAGUGAGGAAUAUCGGUCAAUGGACGAGAGUCUGAACCAGCCAAGUAGCGUGAAGGAUGACUGCCCUAUGGGUUGUAAACUUCUUUUAUAUGGGAAUAAAAUGUUCCACGUGUGGGAUUUUGUAUGUACCAUAUGAAUAAGGAUCGGCUAACUCCGUGCCAGCAGCCGCGGUAAUACGGAGGAUCCGAGCGUUAUCCGGAUUUAUUGGGUUUAAAGGGAGCGUAGGUGGAUUGUUAAGUCAGUUGUGAAAGUUUGCGGCUCAACCGUAAAAUUGCAGUUGAAACUGGCAGUCUUGAGUACAGUAGAGGUGGGCGGAAUUCGUGGUGUAGCGGUGAAAUGCUUAGAUAUCACGAAGAACUCCGAUUGCGAAGGCAGUUCACUGGACUGCAACUGACACUGAGGCUCGAAAGUGUGGGUAUCAAACAGGAUUAGAUACCCUUGUAGUC
RNAcentral lists this ribosomal RNA (460 nucleotides) under uncultured bacterium. RNAcentral describes it as "partial 16S ribosomal RNA". It matches the Rfam family "Bacterial small subunit ribosomal RNA", at positions 338 to 795 of the family's 1533-position model. The record is from RNAcentral.